GACAUUUGAAAAUGAUGACAAAACUAAUCCGAAGUUCAUUGACGAUUACACAAUCAAACUUAAACCAAAAGGAUUCUGAAACAUAUGAUUUCAUAAUCAAUAUUAUGCGAAAGCUAUCAAAAUCUUUAUUAAUUCACGCUUUACUUUUUAACAUCAGAUCAAUGGGGGCAGUUGAGGUUCAGAAGUAAAACCGAUUGGAAAAGACAAGACAUUUCUUGAUUUAGUACCACUUCGUUUGGCUAAAUAAAACAGGAGUUGAGUUGAGAUGCAAUAAAAGAAGAUUACCAAAGAAAGCAAAUAUGAUGUGCUGUUAUGAACUUAGAGAACUCUUCUGGAGUGAAAUUGGAUGGGCAAUCGGUUGAUUCAAAAUAGUGGAGCAUGACGGAUUUCAGAUUGGCUCAUGUUUGGACAUAAUGUCUCAUUCUCAUCCAGCGCCAAAACUUUAUUCAGGAAUCCAUUUAUGGUUCAAAAAGUGCAACACUAUAAAUCAUUGACAAUGAUGGCAUUCAGAAGUAUGUGAAGGUGGAUCUCAGAUUGGUUUGAAUUUAAAGGAGCGUUCACAUCGUGUGUCAUUGAUGUGUGAAAAAUUCAACAUUUAAAAAGAUUUCUUUUCAAUCCCACAAACAAAAGAUCAAUCAGGUCUGUUCAUUCGAUGAGAGUCAAUAGGAUCGAUACACGGAAUUUGGACUUUAUGAAGACAUUAAUCGCGGCAGGAGGAAGUUGAGUUAAUCGUCGAAAAACGGGUGAGUAAACUGACUGUCGGAGCCUGAAAGUCGAAACUGUGAUCAAUUGAAAUACAAUAAAGUUUUGAAUAAAUUGAGAUUUUAUUUAAACAAAAAAACAAAUG
This is a long non-coding RNA of Contarinia nasturtii (swede midge), 847 nucleotides long. RefSeq lists it as uncharacterized. Lineage: Eukaryota; Metazoa; Arthropoda; Insecta; Diptera; Cecidomyiidae. The record is from RefSeq and is a predicted model, not a curated record. The transcript is spliced from 12 exons.